Etheostoma cragini (Arkansas darter) is the source of this 801-nucleotide long non-coding RNA. RefSeq lists it as uncharacterized. Lineage: Eukaryota; Metazoa; Chordata; Actinopteri; Perciformes; Percidae. The record is from RefSeq and is a predicted model, not a curated record. The transcript has 3 exons.
CUGUUGGAACAGAACAAAGUUCACAUCAUCAACAACAACAGAGGUGGUAUUUCUACCAAUGAGAGAGAGAGAGGUUGAAAAGAAAGUUACAGACAUAAAAGGAGAGACACAAAUAGAAUCACAACUUUUAGCUCUGUUGAACCGACUUUUCUCCCUGAGGAAGUAUUCUGUGGAUUAGUUCAACCUGACGUGACACAACCACGUCGAGGGAAUUAUAAGUCUUGAAGUUAUGUGACUUCAGUGCGGACGGACAACUGCCAGGAGAACUAUGUAGCAGCGGACAUCUGCAAGUCAUUCCACCUACAUCCAAUCAACCCUGACUUUUUGAGGAUCGUGAAAAACUCAUGGAGGUGCUGAGUGGCCCCUGGGCGGACUUGGCUCUGCUCCUUCGACGGACCAUCACACAGACGGACAGAGAGACGGACAGCUUUCUUCCUCUCUGGCUGUUUGGCCUGCUGCUGUUCCUGUCGGUCUCUCUUCUGCUGCUUCAAUUGAUUAUCUACCUCAGCUGGAAACUCAGACAGGUUGAGGCUGAGCUUUCGGCGUUUCCGCAAGACAGCAGCGCCAUCUACAGGAAGACGUGUGGAUGUAAAAACCAGAGCAGGAGCGUUGGGUCGCACUCUCACACCUGACAGGACACGGGCACACGCACACACUUCAUCAAAAGACCAGAUCGAAAAGACACUAAAAACCUGUUGAAAGGAACACUUGAGUGAUUGUUGAGUAUCUCUAUAGAGCAAUGUGAACAAUAUCGCAGACAUAAUGAGGGUGCCUUAAGAAGAUGAAUGUUAAAGCUUGCAA